Cottoperca gobio is the source of this 726-nucleotide long non-coding RNA. RefSeq lists it as uncharacterized. The transcript has 3 exons. NCBI's taxonomy places the organism in Eukaryota, Metazoa, Chordata, Actinopteri, Perciformes, Bovichtidae. The record is from RefSeq and is a predicted model, not a curated record.
GUAAGGAUGACCCGUGAAGUCAGUGAAACUCUUUCAAAACCUUCCCUGCAAUGUCUUAAGGAAACACGAGCAUGUGCAGAGUGAGAAUCACAGGAAGUCAACAGUAACAACUCGGCCAGAGACGUGUUAACUCACCCGCGCAGCCUCUUGUGCCAGGUGGAGUUGGGAAGUGAAGUGAGUGUCCUGAGUGGUGAGUGUGACGCGCUCAAACACACACUCCUGCACCUGGGCAACCAUCAGACGUACCAGCAUGCAGAGCGACGGACCGCUCAUGUCCAGACUGGGAGCGUUGGAGAAAUUCUCUUUGAGAGCUACUCCAGAGCCCUCAAACAGGAAAAAAGAAAAGGAGCUUCCUGCUGUUGGCUUCACACUCAGAUGACACAGUGGGGUCGAACAGGCCUGUGAGCCUCUAUGAAGCAGAGUGCUGGUGGUGAUGCAGGGGCCCAUCUACAGCUGCCUGCCCUGCCUCCCAAACAUGUGGCCACCUUCUUCUGCCACCCUCCAUUACUUUUCUCACUCAUUAAAAUUGCACUAUGUUAAACUGUUGGAUCUGUAUUGCCUAAAUGAUUUUCUCAUACAAUAUUUUGAAGCAAUAAUACUAAGGUCAACGGGAAAAGGUUAGCCUAUUGUCAUAUGUUUGAUUGUUACGGCCAUUAUUUUAUAUAUGAACAGUAAAAAAAAGUAUUCUUACUUCUCAGUGUAUGGGAAAUAAAAUAGAUGUUGACC